AUGAGGGUACCUGUGCAGCUCCUCAGCUUCCUACUGCUCUGGCUCCUGGGUUCCAGGUGUGAUAUCCAGAUGAGCCAGCCUCCAUCUGUGCCUGCAUUUCUGGGAGAGAAAGUCACCAUCACCUGCAAGGCCAGUAAGAACAUUAGCAAUUGGUUAAACUGGUAUCAGCAGAAACCAGGGAAAGCUCCCAGGCUCUUCAUCUAUGGUGCAAUCAGUUUAGGACCAGAUGUCCCUACCCGGUUCAGUGGCAGUAGAUCUGGGACAGAUUUCACUCUGACCAUCAGCAGCCUGAGGCCUGAGGAUGCUGCCACUUAUUACUAUCUACAGUAUAAUGUUCACCCUCUCACAGUGAUACACGCCAGAAUAUAA
Non-coding RNA from Sorex fumeus (smoky shrew), 369 nucleotides. NCBI's taxonomy places the organism in Eukaryota, Metazoa, Chordata, Mammalia, Eulipotyphla, Soricidae. The record is from the annotation of a RefSeq genome assembly.